RNAcentral lists this long non-coding RNA (477 nucleotides) under Homo sapiens (human). RNAcentral describes it as "HSALNT0365195". Lineage: Eukaryota; Metazoa; Chordata; Mammalia; Primates; Hominidae. The record is from RNAcentral.
AUACACAGAGAACCACGUGGAGGAAAAGCACGCGAGUUUGGAGCGGGUGGAGCAGGAACAGAGGUGGACUGGAAUGUCACACGACGGGGCAGCUGGAAGGGCACCACUGAGUUCAGUACUUCAAAAUUGCCGUGCUCUACCUCUCCCCAGUGCACAAAAACACUCUCCACACCAAGCUGCUGCUGCUGGGGGAUGGAGGGAUGGCGUCAGCGAUUCAAGACUGUUUUUCCUACCUGUUCAGCACUUCUUUCAGCGAUAUGAAGUUAAAUCCAGGCCAAGUUCCCACCUGGUGGGAAGCACUGUGCAGGUUCGUGGGGAUGCAGCCCUGCACAGCCCAGACUGGACUCCUUCCCCAUGGAACUCACAACACACGGGAGAGGCAGAGAGAUCCAAGCGCACAGAAAAACACAAGAAGAUUCAGCCCUGUCAUCUUGUGCAAAAGUCACACAGGCUAGAGUGCAGUGGCAUGAUCUCAGC